UCUCGCACUCCAUCUACAAUAUUGAACUGUAACGUAAAAUUAUCAGUUUUACGCGGGAAGCACAAGAGAUAUCAUCGAAAAGUUAAGCCAGAUAGAGAUUAAAAUCAGUAACCUUCAAAUAUUUAUUCGUAUUACCGAAUAACCUACGAUUUAUAACAAUGUGCUAGUGGACUGAAGAAAGAAAUGAAAAAUUUGAAAGACGCCAUGAAAUUCAAAAGGACGCCACGAUUUUUUCCAGUCUUCACUUUUACCAUGGGAGUUGACGUCGAUUUCUCUUAGGCCAUGACAACGUUCUUCGCA
This is a long non-coding RNA of Frieseomelitta varia, 300 nucleotides long. RefSeq lists it as uncharacterized. The record is from RefSeq and is a predicted model, not a curated record. Lineage: Eukaryota; Metazoa; Arthropoda; Insecta; Hymenoptera; Apidae. The transcript has 3 exons.